GACGAACGCUGGCGGCGUGCUUAACACAUGCAAGUCGAACGGAAAGGCCCUGCUUUUGUGGGGUGCUCGAGUGGCGAACGGGUGAGUAACACGUGAGUAACCUGCCCUUGACUUUGGGAUAACUUCAGGAAACUGGGGCUAAUCCCGGAUAGGAGCUCCUGCUGCAUGGUGGGGGUUGGAAAGUUUCGGCGGUUGGGGAUGGACUCGCGGCUUAUCAGCUUGUUGGUGGGGUAGUGGCUUACCAAGGCUUUGACGGGUAGCCGGCCUGAGAGGGUGACCGGCCACAUUGGGACUGAGAUACGGCCCAGACUCCUACGGGAGGCAGCAGUGGGGAAUAUUGCACAAUGGGCGGAAGCCGGAUGCAGCAACGCCGCGUGCGGGAUGACGGCCUUCGGGUUGUAAACCGCUUUCGCCUGUGACGAAGCGUGAGUGACGGUAAUGGGUAAAGAAGCACCGGCUAACUACGUG
This 468-nucleotide ribosomal RNA is filed under the name uncultured bacterium. RNAcentral's name for it is "partial 16S ribosomal RNA". It matches the Rfam family "Bacterial small subunit ribosomal RNA", at positions 28 to 507 of the family's 1533-position model. The record is from RNAcentral.